GAGCCAAAGCAAAACAAGCAGCUGAGGCCGGGAAGCAGGAGGGAGCCGUGUGGGCAGGAAUAGCAGCGGCCCCACACGAGCAGCCGCACGCUGGGAGCUGUAGGGCAGCGUGGGCCCUGUUCCUGCCGCUGGCCCCACUGCUGUGCCCAGGGCACACAGCUCCAGGAUGUGGCGCUGAAGGGUUCCUGUGCUAGCACGAGCCUUUUGUUGGUCGUGGUUCAAAGGCUUUGGACUUCAUGUUUCAUUCUUCCGUGUUCUGACAUGACAAAGGACUAUUUUAAUAGCUGGGUAUUAAAUCUAUUCAGGGGCAGAAAAUGAAGGACUGCGUUAGCCUGCAGCACUCGGGAGCUGCGUGUUAGCAGCAGCCCGUUCUGCUGGUGUGCAGCAGGAGCCUCAGCCUCACCGGGGUCAGCGUGCAGCAUUCCCCUCCCCAGCAGCGUUCCCCGUUGGGCGUGCAGCAGUGCCCUCCUGCCUCCAUCGCUCCCUGCUGCUGCGCCCAGGGACACCCGGAGACCCCUGACUUAGGACACUUCCACCUUUUACUCUGAAGCCAACGUCAGUGCAGCUCUCCAGCUCCUGGCAAGUGGGCACCUCGUGCCGGGCUGUGAGGAACGGGCUGACGACACCGAGCAGAGUCACAUUUCUGCAGCACUUCCCCUGCCCGCAGCACAGCUCUGCGCCCCAGCUGACCGGGGCGGCGGUGCAGGGCAGCGGGAGCAACCCGGUGCUGAAAGCUGACAGCUCAGACUUCAGGUCUGGCCACGGAGAGGAACGAGGCUCAUCAAAUUGAGCCUGGGAAAGCUUCCAAAACCUUGUCUUCACGAGGCAACAGUGCGCAGGUUUGCAUAAAUAUCUAUGAAAUUCAUCAAACAGCCCAAAUGAAAUACACUAAGGAAGGAACUUCUGCUGCAUUUAAAUCCGCUCACAGUCGCUUCCCUGUCUUUGAAAUCCAGCGAUGCCCGCCCCCCACCAGCCUGGGAGCAAGGCUUCACCAAAACCCCAUCAUCGGUGAAGGUCUGACCGCAGCGGCCUCCUGCACAUCUCACACCGCUAAAUGUCAGUCCUCCGAGAAGAACCUGAAGGCAUGUGGGACGUUCAGCUCUCCGCUGUCUUUCAGGUAAGCAAAUUUAAACAUGUAACUUUGUCUGACAGUUCCAAUUAGUAUUCUUUUAACUGCACAACAAGAGAGGAAGGAAAAAAAAAGAGAUUUAUCACAAAAGAUUAUUUUGGGGGAAGAGGGAGGAGGACGGGGGAACUCUAGAAUGUUUUAUUUAUGGGAAUACUGCAAAUUACCUUAAUAAAUUCCUUUACUAAGCUGUGUCA
RNAcentral lists this long non-coding RNA (1323 nucleotides) under Numida meleagris (helmeted guineafowl). RNAcentral's name for it is "lncRNA (ENSNMEG00000005048.1)". Lineage: Eukaryota; Metazoa; Chordata; Aves; Galliformes; Numididae. The record is from RNAcentral.